AUUGAACGCUGGCGGCAUGCCUUACACAUGCAAGUCGAACGGCAGCACGGGAGCUUGCUCCUGGUGGCGAGUGGCGAACGGGUGAGUAAUACAUCGGAACGUACCCAGUAGUGGGGGAUAACGCACCGAAAGGUGCGCUAAUACCGCAUACGACCUACGGGUGAAAGCGGGGGACCGUAAGGCCUCGCGCUAUUGGAGCGGCCGAUGUCUGAUUAGCUAGUUGGCGGGGUAAAAGCCCACCAAGGCGACG
RNAcentral lists this ribosomal RNA (250 nucleotides) under uncultured bacterium. RNAcentral describes it as "partial 16S ribosomal RNA". It matches the Rfam family "Bacterial small subunit ribosomal RNA", at positions 30 to 278 of the family's 1533-position model. The record is from RNAcentral.